This 706-nucleotide long non-coding RNA is filed under the name Mytilus galloprovincialis (Mediterranean mussel). Lineage: Eukaryota; Metazoa; Mollusca; Bivalvia; Mytilida; Mytilidae. The record is from RNAcentral.
GGUACAUGUAUAUCUUUCAGCUUUUUACAUUAAUACAGACAACUUUCACUGUAAAAUAUGAUUUCAGAAAAACAGAAAAUUAGAACAAACAAGAAUGUGUCCAAAGUACACGGAUGCCCCACUCGCACUAUCCUUUUCCAUGUUCCAUGGACCGUGAAAUUGGGUAAUAAUCUAAUUUGGCAUUAAAAUUAGAAAGAUUAUACUAUAGGGAACAUAUGUACUAAGUUUCAAGUUGAUUGGACUUCAAUUUUAUCAAAAACUACCUUGACCAAAAACUUUAACCUGAAACUCCCACUUUCAUUUUCUAUGUUCAGUGGACCAUGAAAUUGGGGUCAAAAGUCUAAUUUGGCUUUACAAUUAGAAAGAUCAUAUCAUAAGCAACAAGUGUACUAAGUUUCAAGUUGAUUGGACUUCAGCUUCAUCAAAAACUACCUUGACCAAAAACUUUAACCUGAAACUCCCACUUUCAUUUUCUAUGUUCAGUGGACCAUGAAAUUGGGGUCAAAAGUCUAAUUUGGCUUUAAAAUUAGAAAGAUCAUAUCAUAAGCAACAAGUGUACUAAGUUUCAAGUUGAUUGGACUUCAGUUUCAUCAAAAACUACUUUGACCAAAAACUUUAACCUGAACGGACGGACGAACGAACGGAACCACAGACGGACGGACGAACGGAGCCACAGACCAGAAAACAUAAUGCCCCUCUACUAUCG